Molecule: ribosomal RNA, 167 nt
Filed under: Paramontastraea salebrosa
Lineage: Eukaryota; Metazoa; Cnidaria; Anthozoa; Scleractinia; Merulinidae
Description: 5.8S ribosomal RNA
Rfam family: 5.8S ribosomal RNA
About the family: 5.8S ribosomal RNA (5.8S rRNA) is a component of the large subunit of the eukaryotic ribosome. It is transcribed by RNA polymerase I as part of the 45S precursor that also contains 18S and 28S rRNA. Functionally, it is thought that 5.8S rRNA may be involved in ribosome translocation.
Source: RNAcentral
AACUUUUGACGGUGGAUCUCUUGGCUCACGCAUCGAUGAAGAACGCAGCCAGCUGCGAUAAGUAGUGUGAAUUGCAGAAUUCAGUGAAUCAUCGAAUCUUUGAACGCAAAUGGCGCUCUUGGGUUCUCCCAGGAGCAUGUCUGUCUGAGUGUCGGAUGUCAUCCAUC